ACAGCAGCAGCCGCGGGAACACGAAGGGGGCUAGCGUUGCUCGGAAUGACUGGGCGUAAAGGGUGCGUAGGCGGCGGCCAAAGUCAGGCGUGAAAUCCCCGGGCUCAACCUGGGAACUGCAUUUGUGACUGGCAAACUAGAGUAUGGCAGAGGGGGGUGGAAUUCCGCGUGUAGCAGUGAAAUGCGUAGAUAUGCGGAGGAACACCGAUGGCGAAGGCAGCCCCCUGGGCCAAUACUGACGCUCAUGCACGAAAGCGUGGGGAGCAAACAGGAUUAGAUACCCCCGUAGUCCCUGUCUCUUAUAC
This 305-nucleotide ribosomal RNA is filed under the name uncultured bacterium. RNAcentral's name for it is "partial 16S ribosomal RNA". It matches the Rfam family "Bacterial small subunit ribosomal RNA", at positions 505 to 807 of the family's 1533-position model. The record is from RNAcentral.